GCUUCAGUAGCAUAGCGCCUAAUGCACAGCCCCGGAUAGGUUGAGACGCGGGUUCGAAUCCCGCCUGAGAUG
This 72-nucleotide transfer RNA is filed under the name Nippostrongylus brasiliensis. It matches the Rfam family "tRNA". Rfam says of the family: Transfer RNA (tRNA) molecules are approximately 80 nucleotides in length. Their secondary structure includes four short double-helical elements and three loops (D, anti-codon, and T loops). Lineage: Eukaryota; Metazoa; Nematoda; Chromadorea; Rhabditida; Heligmosomidae. The record is from Rfam by way of RNAcentral.